CCUACGGGUGGCUGCAGUCGAGAAUCAUUCACAAUGGGGGAAACCCUGAUGGUGCGACGCCGCGUGGGGGAAUGAAGGUCUUCGGAUUGUAAACCCCUGUCAUGUGGGAGCAAAUUAAAAAGAUAGUACCACAAGAGGAAGAGACGGCUAACUCUGUGCCACCAGCCGCGGUAAUACAGAGGGCUCAAGCGGUGUUCGGAAUCACUGGGCGUAAAGCGUGCGUAGGCUGUUUCGUAAGUCGUGUGUGAAAGGCGCGGGCUCAACCCGCGGACGGCAGAUGAUACUGCGAGACUCGAGUAAGGGAGGGGGAAGCGGAAUGCUCGGUGUAGCAGUGAAAUGCGUAGAUAUCGAGAGGAACACUCGUGGCGAAGGCGGGUUCCUGGACAUUAACUGACGCUGAGGCACGAAGGCCAGGGGAGCGAAAGGGAUUAGAUACCCCGGUAGUC
This 446-nucleotide ribosomal RNA is filed under the name uncultured bacterium. RNAcentral's name for it is "partial 16S ribosomal RNA". It matches the Rfam family "Bacterial small subunit ribosomal RNA", at positions 338 to 795 of the family's 1533-position model. The record is from RNAcentral.